This 495-nucleotide ribosomal RNA is filed under the name uncultured bacterium. RNAcentral describes it as "partial 16S ribosomal RNA". It matches the Rfam family "Bacterial small subunit ribosomal RNA", at positions 28 to 507 of the family's 1533-position model. The record is from RNAcentral.
GACGAACGCUGGCGGCGUGCCUAAUACAUGCAAGUAGAACGCUGAAGGAGGAGCUUGCUUCUCUGGAUGAGUUGCGAACGGGUGAGUAACGCGUAGGUAACCUGCCUGGUAGUGGGGGAUAACUAUUGGAAACGAUAGCUAAUACCGCAUAAUAGCAGUUGUUGCAUGAUAACUGUUUGAAAGGUGCAAUUGCACCGCUACCAGAUGGACCUGCGUUGUAUUAGCUAGUUGGUGGGGUAACGGCUCACCAAGGCGACGAUACAUAGCCGACCUGAGAGGGUGAUCGGCCACACUGGGACUGCGACACGGCCCAGACUCCUUCGGGAGGCAGCAGUAGGGAAUCUUCGGCAAUGGACGGAAGUCUGACCGAGCAACGCCGCGUGAGUGAAGAAGGUUUUCGGAUCGUAAAGCUCUGUUGUAAGAGAAGAACGAGUGUGAGAGUGGAAAGUUCACACUGUGACGGUAUCUUACCAGAAAGGGACGGCUAACUACGUG